UGGGGAAUUUUGGACAAUGGGCGAAAGCCUGAUCCAGCAAUGCCGCGUGUGUGAAGAAGGCCUUCGGGUUGUAAAGCACUUUUGUCCGGAAAGAAAUCCUUGGCUCUAAUACAGUCGGGGGAUGACGGUACCGGAAGAAUAAGCACCGGCUAACUACGUGCCAGCAGCCGCGGUAAUACGUAGGGUGCAAGCGUUAAUCGGAAUUACUGGGCGUAAAGCGUGCGCAGGCGGUUUGCUAAGACCGAUGUGAAAUCCCCGGGCUCAACCUGGGAACUGCAUUGGUGACUGGCAGGCUAGAGUAUGGCAGAGGGAGGUAGAAUUCCACGUGUAGCAGUGAAAUGCGUAGAGAUGUGGAGGAAUACCGAUGGCGAAGGCAGCCCCCUGGCAAGUACUGACGCUCAUGCACGAAAGCGUGGGGAGCAAACNGGAUUAGAUACCCUGGUAGUCCACGCCCCCAAACGAUGUCAACUAGUUUGUUGGGGGAUUCAUUUUCCUUAGUAACGUAGCUAACGCGUGAAGUUGACCGCCUGGGGGAGUACGGUCGCAAGAUUAAAACUUAAA
This 561-nucleotide ribosomal RNA is filed under the name uncultured bacterium. RNAcentral's name for it is "partial 16S ribosomal RNA". It matches the Rfam family "Bacterial small subunit ribosomal RNA", at positions 355 to 905 of the family's 1533-position model. The record is from RNAcentral.